RNAcentral lists this small RNA (345 nucleotides) under Pongo abelii (Sumatran orangutan). Its description in RNAcentral is "retained intron". The record is from RNAcentral. Lineage: Eukaryota; Metazoa; Chordata; Mammalia; Primates; Hominidae.
CCAGCUACUUUGCAAUGUAAAAUGUGAUGCUCUCCUGUUGUUCUUAUCCCCAAGCUGCUGGAGACCCAAAAGAAGAUGAACUCUAUGAAGCAGCCAUAAUAGAAACUAACUGCAUUUACCGUCUCAUGGAUGACAAACUUGUUCCUGAUGACGACUACUGGGGGAAAAUUCCAAAAUGCUCCCUUCUGCAACCCAAAGAGGUACUGGUGUUUGAUUUUGGUAGUGAAGUUUACGUAUGGCAUGGGAAAGAAGUCACAUUAGCACAACGAAAAAUAGCAUUUCAGCUGGCAAAGCACUUAUGGAAUGGAACCUUUGACUAUGAGAACUGUGACAUCAAUCCCCUGG